GAGGAAGGCGGGGAUGACGUCAAAUCAUCAUGCCCUUUAUGUCCUGGGCUACACACGUGCUACAAUGGGCGGAACAACGGGAAGCGAGACCGCGAGGUGGAGCGAAACCCUGAAAACCGUUCGUAGUUCGGAUUGCAGGCUGCAACUCGCCUGCAUGAAGCCGGAAUUGCUAGUAAUCGCGGAUCAGCAUGCCACGGUGAAUACGUUCCCGGGCCUUGUACACACCGCCCGUCACACCAUGGGAUUUGGUUUGACCUUAAGUUGGUGCGCUAACCGCAAGGAGGCAGCCAACCACGGUCGGGUUAGAGACUGGGGUGAAGUCGUAACAAGGUAGCCGUAA
Molecule: ribosomal RNA, 340 nt
Filed under: uncultured bacterium
Lineage: Bacteria
Description: bacterial SSU rRNA
Rfam family: Bacterial small subunit ribosomal RNA
Source: RNAcentral